Anas platyrhynchos (mallard) is the source of this 1969-nucleotide RNA transcript. It is a transcript of the gene named ectonucleoside triphosphate diphosphohydrolase 8, with no coding region annotated. NCBI's taxonomy places the organism in Eukaryota, Metazoa, Chordata, Aves, Anseriformes, Anatidae. The record is from RefSeq and is a predicted model, not a curated record.
GGCCCCGCCCGAGGCGCCGCGCGGCUGCCGAGCCCCGGGGUGGGCCGGGGCGGCCUCGCCGAGCCCGUCGGGGGCGCCAUGAGGCCGGGCCGGGCCGGGCCGGGGCGCUGGGGCUCGGCAGCGGCGCUGGUCGUGCUGGCGGUGCUGGUGGCGGCCGUCCUCCUCCUGGUGCUGGCCCCGGACAGGGACGCUGCCCUCCCCGCGAGGAACCAAUACGGAAUGGUGUUUGAUGCUGGCUCCACGCACACGGCUCUCUACAUCUACCAGUGGCCUGCGAACAAGGAGAAUGGCACAGGCAUUGUCAGCCAGGUGGAAACCUGCACCGUGAAUGGAUCUGGCAUCUCCAGCUACGCAGAUGACCCUGCUGGGGCCGGAGCCAGCCUGAAGCCCUGCCUGGACAAGGCCAUGACGAUCAUCCCUGCAGAGCAGCAGCGGGACACCCCCGUCUACCUGGGGGCCACAGCAGGCAUGCGGCUGCUGAGGGAGCAAAACAGCACAAAAGCUGAGCAGGUCUUCGCUGAGGUCACCAAGGCCAUUCGAGAGUACCCUGUGGAUUUCCGUGGAGCUCAGAUCCUCACAGGAAACGAAGAAGGCUCCUUCGGCUGGAUCACCGUCAACUACCUGCUGGAGACACUCAUCAAGCAUUCCUUCACAGGCAAGUGGAUCCACCCACCAGUGGAGGAUACCGUUGGAGCUCUGGACCUUGGUGGGGCUUCCACCCAGAUCACAUUUCUUCCUGGGACCACCAUAGAUGACAGCAACACAAGAGCUCUCCUCAGACUGUACGGGACCAACUACUCCAUUUACACCCACAGCUACCUCUGCUAUGGACAAAUGCAAGCCCUGAAGAGGCUGAUGGCAUCUUUACACCAGGGCAACCUAUCUUCCCAGCACAUAUCGCACCCCUGCUACCCCAGGGGAUACCAGGAGAACAUCACCAUGGCAGAGCUCUACAACAGUCCCUGUGUCCCCACACCGAGCACACCCAGCCCCGCACAGGUCCUCAUGGUAACGGGGACAGGGGACCCGGCGGCGUGCAGUGCUGCCAUGCAGAAACUCUUCAACUUCAGCUGUGAGACCAACAGGACGUGUGGGUUCAACGGGGUUUAUCAGCCGCCUGUGCGGGGACAGUUCUUUGCGUUUUCAGGGUUUUAUUACAGCCUUCACUUUCUGAAUCUGACUGGAGAGCAGUCCCUGAGCUCAGUCAAUGACACUCUCUGGAAAUUCUGCACCAGGAAUUGGAAGAAGGGCCCUUCCCCACUGGCUGCCUCCCUUUGCUCUUCCACAUCUACAGCUGCAGAAGGAGUUCCCCACUGCAAACAGGACCCACCUCCGUGACUCCUGCGCCGCCAGCUCCUACACCCUCACCCUCCUGCUGCACGGCUACAAAUUCAACCACAAGACGUGGCACAACAUCCACUUCUGCCAGCAGCCCUCCAGGUGACUCUUUGAGACCCAGAAGGAAGUUGCCGAGCUGCUGGAGGCUCAGCAUGGUUCAAAGCCCAUCCAUGACUGCCAGCAGCUGGCACAGCUGCUGUUUGUGAAGUGAGAUCCCCUCGGGUACUAACAUCUCCCCUGGGCCUUCCUAAAGGACAGGAUCCUGGGGGAAGGAGAUCCUCUCAUUUCCCCGCCAGGCAAUUCCUGCACCAGCGGCCACCCCAGCUCUGGCCACAGCAAGUGCUGGUGCCUUGUGCCUGGCUGAGCUGCUCCACUCACUUUAGCUCCUCUUUCCCCUCCCAGAGGCUCCUAGGCCUCACUGCAACCCGUCCUAAGGAGGAACAACUCCAGCCAUCCCUCCUCAUCUGACUCCAUCUGGACUGGUGGAUCCGGGGACGUUUGCAGCUGCCUGUGGGAUGCACACCCCUCAUCCCUGCUGUUUCCCGCUGGCAGAUAGCCGAUCAGACCUUUCCUUCCUACCUACCAUCUUUCCCUGAGUGUAUAAUUAAUAAACAUGCCCUGAUUGCCACAA